GUGGGGAAUAUUGGACAAUGGGCGCAAGCCUGAUCCAGCCAUGCCGCGUGAGUGAUGAAGGCCCUAGGGUUGUAAAGCUCUUUCGCCAGGGACGAUAAUGACGGUACCUGGAUAAGAAGCCCCGGCUAACUUCGUGCCAGCAGCCGCGGUAAUACGAAGGGGGCUAGCGUUGUUCGGAUUAACUGGGCGUAAAGCGCACGUAGGCGGAUCUUUAAGUCAGGGGUGAAAUCCCGAGGCUCAACCUCGGAACUGCCCUUGAUACUGGGGAUCUCGAGUUCGGGAGAGGUGAGUGGAACUGCGAGUGUAGAGGUGAAAUUCGUAGAUAUUCGCAAGAACACCAGUGGCGAAGGCGGCUCACUGGCCCGAUACUGACGCUGAGGUGCGAAAGCGUGGGGAGCAAACAGGAUUAGAAACCCUAGUAGUCC
This 425-nucleotide ribosomal RNA is filed under the name uncultured bacterium. RNAcentral describes it as "bacterial SSU rRNA". It matches the Rfam family "Bacterial small subunit ribosomal RNA", at positions 354 to 796 of the family's 1533-position model. The record is from RNAcentral.